This is an RNA transcript of Cotesia glomerata, 736 nucleotides long. It is a transcript of the gene named odorant receptor 2a-like, with no coding region annotated. The record is from RefSeq and is a predicted model, not a curated record. Lineage: Eukaryota; Metazoa; Arthropoda; Insecta; Hymenoptera; Braconidae. The transcript has 2 exons.
GUUAGCGGGAAGUUGCAGGGAUGGCCUUUAGCGUCAACCGUUUUCCUAAUUUUUUUAUACGAUUUCUUCUUUUAGAUUAGGAAACAAUGUCAUCGAUAUCUACAGCACGUCGUUAAUGGUUUAUAUGAUUUGCACAACCACCUGCAUUUGUGUUAUUGGCUACAAAAUACUGGUGUUAAUAAGAUUUCUCAGAACUGCAUGACCGGACCAGAUGCGGAUUUAGUCCAAUUUUUUAUAUAUAUAUUUGCGGUGUACCUCAUAAUGACGGUAUUUUGUUUCAUCAGCGAGCAGCUCAUGUCUGAGGUAAGAAAAAUUACUGUUAAAAUUUACCGUAUAGGUAAAAUAUAUAUUUUUGACAGUGUGAUAAAGUCAGUGAAGCUUUUUGGAAUUGUGAAUGGUACCGAAUGCCGCCAAAGACUGUUGUUAAUGUCAUGUUCUGUAUUCAAAGAUCUCAACGACCACUUACGCUGAAAAUUGGAAAAUUUGCACACUUUGGCCACAAUAUGCUGACAGUUGUUACCAAAACAGCCAUGGGUUACUUAAGUAUUUUACGUAACUUUUUAGUAAUUGAGUAAUGUGUUAAAAAUAUUUUUUCUAGGAAGCGACAUGAUAGCCGAGCGGACUAAGUUAUUAUCCCGUUAGUUCGUUCGUGCAUCAUGUCGUGAGGCGAGGGUUCGAGCCCCGACGGUUGUUCGAAUAGUUCCAACACCAACCGUCGGAGAUCGCUCCGGUAGCC